Long non-coding RNA from Daktulosphaira vitifoliae (grape phylloxera), 400 nucleotides. RefSeq lists it as uncharacterized. Lineage: Eukaryota; Metazoa; Arthropoda; Insecta; Hemiptera; Phylloxeridae. The transcript has 2 exons. The record is from RefSeq and is a predicted model, not a curated record.
UUACACUCAGUCACGAGUAUUCAAGUGAGCUUUUUAUGCAUCGUAGUUGUGUAUCGACGUGGCCCAUUCACGGAUGUUUACUUCUUUAUAUAUACGUGUAGUCUAUUGUGGGUGGUGCGACCCACUUGCAAAAAAUGUAUCAAUUUAAAUGUUUUUACUAAUUUACUCUUUUACAUCACCAGCAAGUUUUUAUUUUUAGAUGAAACCGAAAAGGUCAUGCAUCAAAUUGCAGCAAUAAAAGAGUUCACAAAUAAUUGAGUUUGGACGCUGGAGACUUGAUGACAUAUCACUUCAAAUGGAAGUAAUACGGUCGUAGCAAUGAGAAUAAUAGUAAUAAUAAUAAGAGAAAAAAUAUAAACAUAAUUUAGGGCAAAAGUGGGGUAAAGUAGUGACAUUGUUU